UUUUAUUCUUAAACAAUGAGGGGAAUAUGUCAAGUUUCAGAACUGUGCCAGCAUGAAGAUGCCUUAAUUGAGUCAAGGUAUCACGUGUCACACAUUAAUGUAUUUCCUCUUCAUUUUGGAAUUGGCGAGUCCUAUACAGCAUGCAUCCCCAUUUCCAUUUUUGCCUUUUCUUCUCUCUUUUAUUUAAUUAAUUAAUUAAUUUAUUUUUUGUAAAUCUUAUUUCUUAUGCAAUUUUCGUGAUGAUUGGGGAUUUCUUUUUGUAGGAUCACAAGGACAGGAGAAUACAAGUAUUAACAUUGGAGUUGGAACAUCAGGAUAAGUUAUGUGCUCUUUACCGAGAGCAGCUAAUUACACUAUUGAAAAAUGUUGAGGAGCAAACAGAACUUCUCUCGUCAAAAAUCCAAGAAGUUGUUGGCAAUGUAAGAGAAUUUGAAACUGAAGUACAAAAGUCAUCAAACUGUUUAUAGCCCAUGUAAAGUUUCGGCAUGUACAAAAAUUAUUUCUGGUAAUGCCAUUUCAUUUUAGGUCAUAAUUUUCAUUAUGCAACCCAUUAAUUUUUUAAAGAUUAAAAUAUUGCUAAUGAAUCUUUGUAGGCAUUGUUAUUCUCCAGAAUUCUUGUGUGUUAGACCUUUUUGCCCCCUGUGAAGUGCACUGGCUGUUGUAUUAGGCAAUUAAGUUCUGCUAGUUGAGAUGUACCAGGCAUGAAGCAGCAGAAGUUACAGAGGUGAACUUUUUGUUGUAAAGUUGGCGAAAUUUACAAUGGUGGACAGUUCAUUUGUUCUUGAUAACAAUUGAUUCACAAAAAUUAUCUUUAGGAUUUUAAUUAUUUUAUGUAAAUGAUCCAGUGGAAAAAGAAUUUUCAAUGCAUUCAAAUUCCAUACAUUUUCCCUCUUCUGUAUAAAUGACAGACUGGAAAUAGGGUUGAAAUAUUCCAGAUGAGAUCAUGUUACUUUCUAAUUUAAUUGCUGUGAGCCUGUGAAUAUUCUCUCAAGUCAUUUCUUUCCCGUUGAUGGAAUUUUUGUUGCAUCA
Molecule: long non-coding RNA, 1029 nt
Filed under: Olea europaea subsp. europaea
Lineage: Eukaryota; Viridiplantae; Streptophyta; Magnoliopsida; Lamiales; Oleaceae
Source: RNAcentral